RNAcentral lists this ribosomal RNA (253 nucleotides) under uncultured bacterium. RNAcentral's name for it is "partial 16S ribosomal RNA". It matches the Rfam family "Bacterial small subunit ribosomal RNA", at positions 524 to 776 of the family's 1533-position model. The record is from RNAcentral.
UACGUAGGGGGCAAGCGUUAUCCGGAUUUACUGGGUGUAAAGGGAGCGUAGACGGAAUUGCAAGUCUGAUGUGAAAAUCCGGGGCCCAACCCCGGAACUGCAUUGGAAACUGUAUUUCUAGAGUGCCGGAGAGGUAAGCGGAAUUCCUAGUGUAGCGGUGAAAUGCGUAGAUAUUAGGAGGAACACCAGUGGCGAAGGCGGCUUACUGGACGGCAACUGACGCUGAGGCUCGAAAGCGUGGGGAGCAAACAGG